This 661-nucleotide ribosomal RNA is filed under the name uncultured eukaryote. Its description in RNAcentral is "eukaryotic LSU rRNA". The stretch from base 245 to 399 matches the Rfam family "5.8S ribosomal RNA". The record is from RNAcentral.
GCCGCCUGGCCGCGGGAUUUCCGUAGGUGAAUCCUGCGGAAGGAUCAUUCACACGAUUCCACAAUACUUCACUGUGAACAACGUUCUGUGAUGCUCUGUCACGAGGCUUGCGUCAUGUGGCUGAGCGUUGUGGGUGAUGGACCAGAUCGGGACCGUCGUCCCCUUCUGCAUCUGUCAUCGUGACUUCAGGCACCGACUCAUACGAUAAACAUACAUCUCAGCUUCGUGCUGUCACUCAAUUCACAACUUUCAGCGAUGGAUGCCUCGGUUCGAACAACGAUGAAGGGCGCAGCGAAGUGUGAUAAACAUUGUAACUUGCAGAAUUCCGCGAACCAACAGAACUUUGAACGCAUUCUGCGCUUUCAGGAUAUGCCUGAAAGCAUGCCUACUUCAGAGCUUCAUUAUUUCCAUGUGCUCAGCCUCUCAUCAGUUGAGGUGCUGCAGCGCGUCUUUGUGCACUAGCACGUCGCACUUGUGCUGCUGCUGAUGCAUUAAGAUCAUUGGUGCGAUUUCGAGCAAGGAACAGAUUGAGCGCUACGUGCACUUCGUUGUUUCUAUGCUUGAUCUCGGGCCAUUGCAAGUUUCUGGCGAAAUCUUUCGCCCUAAGCAUGAAGUUAGGUCAGGAAACCCGCUGAAUUUAAGCAUAUCAAUAAGCGGAGCA